This 460-nucleotide ribosomal RNA is filed under the name uncultured bacterium. RNAcentral describes it as "partial 16S ribosomal RNA". It matches the Rfam family "Bacterial small subunit ribosomal RNA", at positions 338 to 795 of the family's 1533-position model. The record is from RNAcentral.
CCUACGGGAGGCAGCAGUGAGGAAUAUUGGUCAAUGGACGAGAGUCUGAACCAGCCAAGUAGCGUGAAGGAUGACUGCCCUAUGGGUUGUAAACUUCUUUUAUAUGGGAAUAAAAUGUUCCACGUGUGGGAUUUUGUAUGUACCAUAUGAAUAAGGAUCGGCUAACUCCGUGCCAGCAGCCGCGGUAAUACGGAGGAUCCGAGCGUUAUCCGGAUUUAUUGGGUUUAAAGGGAGCGUAGGUGGAUUGUUAAGUCAGUUGUGAAAGUUUGCGGCUCAACCGUAAAAUUGCAGUUGAAACUGGCAGGCUUGAGUACAGUAGAGGUGGGCGGAAUGCGUGGUGUAGAGGUGAAAUGCUUAGAUAGCACGAAGAACUCCGAUAGCGAAGGCAGCUCACUGGACUGCAACUGACACUGAGGCUCGAAAGUGUGGGUAUCAAACAGGAUUAGAUACCCUGGUAGUC